Molecule: ribosomal RNA, 679 nt
Filed under: uncultured crenarchaeote
Lineage: Archaea; Thermoproteati; Thermoproteota
Description: bacterial SSU rRNA
Rfam family: Archaeal small subunit ribosomal RNA
Source: RNAcentral
AGUCAACCUAACUCGUGGACGUGGAUAACCUCGGGAAACUGAGAAUAAACCACGAUAGAUCAUAGUGCCUGGAAUGGCUUAUGGUCCAAACAGUUUACUGCCAUGGGAUGGGACUGCGGCCUAUCAGCUUGUUGGUGAGGUAAUGGCCCACCAAGGCGAUUACAGGUACGGGCUCUGAGAGGAGAAGCCCGGAGAUGGGUACUGAGACACGGACCCAGGCCCUAUGGGGCGCAGCAGGCGAGAAACCUUAGCAAUGUGCGAAAGCACGACUGGGUCAGUCCGAGUGAUUCCUGAUAAAGGAGUCUUUUGCUUGUCCUAAAAGCACAGGUGAAUAAGGGGUGGGCAAGUCUGGUGUCAGCCGCCGCGGUAAUACCAGCACCUCGAGUGGUCAGGACGUUUAUUGGGCCUAAAGCAUCCGUAGCCGGCUCUGCAAGUCUUCGGUUAAAUCCACCUGCUCAACAGAUGGGCCGCUGGAGAUACUACAGAGCUAGGGAGUGGGAGAGGCAGACGGUAUUCAGUGGGUAGGGGUAAAAUCCUCUGAUCCAUUGAGGACCACCAGUGGCGAAGGCGGUCUGCCAGAACACGUUCGACGGUGAGGGAUGAAAGCUGGGGGAGCAAACCGGAUUAGAUACCCGGGUAGUCCCAGCUGUAAACGAUGCAAACUCGGUGAUGCAUUGGC